AAUAGAUACCCGGGUAGUCCACGCCGUAAACGAUGAGUGCUAAGUGUUGGAGGGUUUCCGCCCUUCAGUGCUGCAGCUAACGCAUUAAGCACUCCGCCUGGGGAGUACGGUCGCAAGACUGAAACUCAAAGGAAUUGACGGGGGCCCGCACAAGCGGUGGAGCAUGUGGUUUAAUUCGAAGCAACGCGAAGAACCUUACCAGGUCUUGACAUCUCCUGACCGCCCUGGAGACAGGGUCUUCCCUUCGGGGACAGGAUGACAGGUGGUGCAUGGUUGUCGUCAGCUCGUGUCGUGAGAUGUUGGGUUAAGUCCCGCAACGAGCGCAACCCUUGGUUCUAGUUGCCAGCAUUCAGUUGGGCACUCUAGAGCGACUGCCGGCGACAAGUCGGAGGAAGGUGGGGAUGACGUCAAAUCAUCAUGCCCCUUAUGACCUGGGCUACACACGUGCUACAAUGGAUGGUACAAAGGGCAGCGAAGCGGCGACGCAUGAGCGAAUCCCAGAAAACCAUUCUCAGUUCGGU
This 521-nucleotide ribosomal RNA is filed under the name uncultured bacterium. Its description in RNAcentral is "bacterial SSU rRNA". It matches the Rfam family "Bacterial small subunit ribosomal RNA", at positions 777 to 1297 of the family's 1533-position model. The record is from RNAcentral.